This 727-nucleotide long non-coding RNA is filed under the name Brassica napus (rape). Its description in RNAcentral is "long non-coding RNA (BNAP_LNC016732)". Lineage: Eukaryota; Viridiplantae; Streptophyta; Magnoliopsida; Brassicales; Brassicaceae. The record is from RNAcentral.
UGCCAAAAAUAUGUGAAUGAAUUCCUAGCCCUCUGCAUUUUGAUUCCCUUUGUUACCCUUUGUUUUUUUUUGAUGUGCGCUUAUCUUAGAAUCAAAAAAACCCUUGAAUCAACUGCAGUAGACCUGAGAUUUAACUUGUUGAUGUUUGUUUAAACAACCAUAAUCUGAAUUAUUUCUUGUACAGCCACCGUCACUGAUGGAACACGCCUCCAAACUAAACCUGUAGGGAAGACUUUCGACACAACCAUCCGUUCAGCUUGUAAAGUUUAAACAAAACCCCAUUACUAGUAGAUCACCACCACUAGCAAAGAAAAAAAUAGUGUCUUGUCAAUGGCUGAACCAUGACACCUGAAACUUCCCCGUUACAGCCACUUUCUAUCACAUCUUAAGCUUGCGACAAACUUUCUUUAACUGUAAAACCUGUUCCACAAUACAUGUUCCUUGUAUUUGGAAAUCCACCAAAAAAAAAACAGUUUGGUGAUUGCAUCACAAAUGUCUUUGGACUCCCAAUAGAACAUCUCUGAUUCAUCAAUACCCUAUGACAUGUCUUUGAAUUGAUGUCUCCACAUGUGAAUUUCCUUCUACUUCCGUCCUUUGAAAAUAUCCUUUAUUUUUUUCUUGUGAUGCCAAAAGAAACCAAGUCUAGCCUUAGUUGUUUCUAACUAUCAAUGCAUAUCAUCAAAUCAUACAUUUACAUAUUUUCUUAGAUGUCUAAAUUCUAGAACAC